RNAcentral lists this ribosomal RNA (253 nucleotides) under uncultured bacterium. RNAcentral describes it as "partial 16S ribosomal RNA". It matches the Rfam family "Bacterial small subunit ribosomal RNA", at positions 524 to 776 of the family's 1533-position model. The record is from RNAcentral.
UACGUAGGGGGCAAGCGUUGUCCGGAUUUAUUGGGCGUAAAGAGCGUGUAGGCGGUUAGGUAGGUCCGUUGUGAAAACUCGAGGCUCAACCUCGAGACGCCGAUGGAAACCAUCUAACUAGAGUCCGGAAGAGGAGAGUGGAAUUCCUGGUGUAGCGGUGAAAUGCGCAGAUAUCAGGAAGAACACCCGUGGCUAAGGCGGCUCUCUAGUACGGUACUGACGCUGAGACGCGAAAGCGUGGGGAGCAAACAGG